RNAcentral lists this microRNA precursor (358 nucleotides) under Gossypium raimondii (Peruvian cotton). RNAcentral describes it as "miR8709b stem-loop (gra-MIR8709b)". The record is from miRBase by way of RNAcentral. Lineage: Eukaryota; Viridiplantae; Streptophyta; Magnoliopsida; Malvales; Malvaceae.
AUCUUUAUGGGAUAAUCUUAAAAUUAUACAUUAACUUUAUUUUACUGUGUAAUUUUAUACAUGAAAUUUUAAUUUGAUUUCAUUUUCACAAUUUAUUAACACGAUUAUUGAUAUAACAUCAUUUUAUGUUUAUAUAUUUCAUGCACAAAUAACUAUAUUUAUACAAUAAAAAAGGUAAUGUGAUGUAUUUAUUUUUUAAAAUGUGUAUAUAAUUGAAUCAAUAUUAAAGUUUUAUGUAUAUAUAUUUGAACCAAAGUCAAAGUUUCAUAUAUAUAACUACACCAAAUCAAAAUUAAUGUAUAAAAUUACACAUUGAAUUAAAAUUCAUGUAUAAUUUUGAGAUUUGUCUCAUUUUUAU